UGGAGUAUCGAUACCGCGAGGGCCACACCCGUUCCCAUUCCGAAUACGGUAGUUAAGCCUCGCAGGGCCUAUGGUAGUAUACUCGUAAGGGUAUGUGAGAGUUGGUUGGUGCUCCAU
RNAcentral lists this ribosomal RNA (117 nucleotides) under Candidatus Omnitrophota bacterium. Lineage: Bacteria; Pseudomonadati; Candidatus Omnitrophota. The record is from RNAcentral.